RNAcentral lists this ribosomal RNA (465 nucleotides) under uncultured bacterium. RNAcentral describes it as "partial 16S ribosomal RNA". It matches the Rfam family "Bacterial small subunit ribosomal RNA", at positions 338 to 795 of the family's 1533-position model. The record is from RNAcentral.
CCUACGGGAGGCAGCAGUAGGGAAUCUUCCACAAUGGGCGAAAGCCUGAUGGAGCAACGCCGCGUGGGUGAAGCAGGUCUUCGGAUCGUAAAACCCUGUUGUUAGAGAAGAAAGUGCGUGAGAGUAACUGUUCACGUUUCGACGGUAUCUAACCAGAAAGCCACGUCUAACUACGUGCCAGCAGCCGCGGUAAUACGUAGGUGGCAAGCGUUAUCCGGAUUUAUUGGGCGUAAAGGGUACGCAGGCGGACUUUUAAGUCUGAUGUGAAAGUCUUCGGCUUAACCGGAGUAGUGCAUUGGAAACUGGGAGACUUGAGUGCAGAAGAGGAGAGUGGAACUCAAGGUGUAGCGGUGAAAUGCGUAGAUAUAUGGAAGAACACCGGUGGCGAAAGCGGCUCUCUGGUCUGUAACUGACGCUGAGGUUCGAAAGCGUGGGUAGCAAACAGGAUUAGAUACCCCGGUAGUC